CGCAUCUGUGCAUGCAGCAUAUCAAUAAGCGGAGGAAAAGAAACUAACAAGGAUUCCCCUAGUAACGGCGAGUGAAGCGGGAAGAGCUCAAAUUUGAAAUCUUAAAGGGUUUCCCUUUACGAAUUGUAGUUUAAAGAAGUGUUUUCUGUUGAGGUUUUGGUAAAAGUUCUUUGGAAUAGGACAUCAUAGAGGGUGAGAAUCCCGUAUUUGACCUUUACUUUCAACUUUGUGAUACACUUUCAAAGAGUCGGAUUGUUUGGGAAUGCAGUCCAAAAUGGGUGGUAAAUUUCAUCUAAAGCUAAAUAUUGGCGAGAGACCGAUAGCGAACAAGUACCGUGAGGGAAAGAUGAAAAGAACUUUGAAAAGAGAGUUAAACAGUACGUGAAAUUGUCAAAAGGGAAGCGUUUGACACCAGUGUUGUUUUUCUGAAAAUCAAUUAAAGAACUGUUUAUGCUAAGUUGUUUAGACUUUAUCAGCUAUCUGCUUAGUUUUGAGCUUUUCUUUAAUGCACUUUUCAGUUAACAAGUCAACAUCAAUUUCUUUUGCUGUAAAAAAGCUUGAGGAAGGUGGCUUGAGAUUCGUCUUAAGUGUUUAUAAGCCUCUUGCCUAUGCAGUCGGAGAGAUUGAGGUCUGCAGCGUAGAUCCUUCGGGGCUAAAUGCAUUUGUGCUAAGUUAUAGCAUUUUAUAGACAACUUGUUGACUAUGAUUUGUCUUGUAGCUUACUCGCUUAUGUUAUUUUACCUACGCUUAGGAUGUUGAACUCUAUCACACACAG
RNAcentral lists this ribosomal RNA (775 nucleotides) under uncultured Neocallimastigales. RNAcentral's name for it is "partial large subunit ribosomal RNA". It matches the Rfam family "Eukaryotic large subunit ribosomal RNA", at positions 26 to 621 of the family's 3401-position model. The record is from RNAcentral. Lineage: Eukaryota; Fungi; Neocallimastigomycota; Neocallimastigomycetes; Neocallimastigales.